GCGACUCGCUCUUCCAGCCCUCGCCGCCGCGGGCCGUCACAGCCGGCGGAAGGGGCGGGGCCAGCGCGGGGACGAGGCAGCAGCGGCCCCGCCCCAGGGGCGCCGCCCACGUGACCGCUCCGUGAACGCGGUUGCACAGAGAAUGUGGACCAGAGCAUUUGGCUGUUCUUAAACUUGUAACAGCACCUUCCUCCAGGCAAAUAUUAAAUAUCUUCACCUACUGUGUUAGAGAUCUCUUCACAUUUUUUAUCUAUCAUAAAAAAUGAAUAAAGAGACAGCUAAGGCUGGUGAGAAGAGAACUGCAGUAGUAGACAAAGAUCCAUCCACAUUGAAACAAAAACAACAGGAUAGCACCCCGGACAGAGUAUUGAAGAUUCGAGGUGAACUUCCACCAAAAGAGAAGCCAUCUACUUUCAAAAAAGCCUUUCAAGACUCAUGGCUUCAAGAAGGUAAAUACAAAGACUGGCUGCAGAAAGUAGAAAACAAUUGUUUUUUAGCUUAUUGCAAAUGUUGUGAUGUAAAAAUCCAGGAAGGUACUAGUGAGUUAGAUAAGCACGCAAAUGGUAAAAGACAAACAAAAGGUUGAGACAGUAUCUAAUACAAAGAAAAUUGAGAUGUUUAAUAAACAAGAUUGUAAAAUUAUAAAAGCACAAACAUUUGAAGAGCAAGUUAAAAAUGCAGAGAUUAGAAUGGCUUGUUAUUUUGCUGAACACGUCAGUAUUCAAUCUGUAGAACACUUGACUGAAGUAGUUAAAAAAUGUUUCCCUGAUUCCAAAAUUGCUGAGGCUGUAACAUUAAAGAAAGAAAUGUACUGCUAUAGUUAGCAAUGUUUUGGUGCAAACUGAGACUGAGGAACGUGUAGAAAAAUUGAAAGUUAAUGAAUUUAGAUUAUUCAGGUCAAUUCAUGUUUGCAAAUAUAUCUGAACUGGCUAAAAAGGUUUUCACAUUACCACAUUCAAAUGCAGCAUGUGAAAGAAUUUUUUCCAUGGUAACUGACAUAAAAACCAUAAAAAGAAACCGUAUGACAACCAAAACACUCAAUUCUAGUGUAGUUAUAAGGUCAACUUUGAAAGCAAAGCAAGAGAAAUGUUCUAAUUUUGUAAUUACUAUUAAGCACUUGUAUUUACAUUGUAAAAAUAUGUACAGUAAAAAUGACAGUGAUAAAACUAUUAAAAAUAUUAAUGAUGGUAAUGAUGUUUCUAGUGACGACUCAGACCAUGAGUCAGAAAAUGGAUAAAACUCAGAUUAUAAUAAGGAAAAUUAUGUAAAAGUGUUAUUUGUUCUUUGUUUGCUUUUUUAUCUUAUUUUAUAAACAUAUGUUUACUUUUUAUUUUUUGAUGUACAGUACACUGCAGGGCACAUGCUGUACUUAUUAAUACUUUUUUUAAAAUAGUGAAAUUUGUGUAAAAUACAUUGUUUUCUAUCAUUUCAAUCCUACUUGUGUGUUAAAUAUUUUAUUUACUGUAUAAGUAACAAGU
This is a long non-coding RNA of Mauremys mutica (yellowpond turtle), 1478 nucleotides long. RefSeq lists it as uncharacterized. The transcript has 3 exons. NCBI's taxonomy places the organism in Eukaryota, Metazoa, Chordata, Testudines, Geoemydidae. The record is from RefSeq and is a predicted model, not a curated record.